UUGUUGGUAAGGUAAAAGCUUACCAAGGCUUCGAUCAGUAGCUGGUCUGAGAGGACGACCAGCCACACUGGGACUGAGACACGGCCCAGACUCCUACGGGAGGCAGCAGUGGGGAAUUUUGGACAAUGGGGGCAACCCUGAUCCAGCCAUGCCGCGUGAGUGAAGAAGGCRUUCGUUGUAAAGCUCUUUCAGCCGGAACGAAACGGUUACGGAUAACACCCGUGACUACUGACGGUACCGGAAGAAGAAGCACCGGCUAACUACGUGCCAGCAGCCGCGGUAAUACGUAGGGUGCGAGCGUUAAUCGGAAUUACUGGGCGUAAAGCGUGCGCAGGUGGUUUUGUAAGUCAGAUGUGAAAGCCCCGGGCUCAACCUGGGAACUGCGUUUGAAACUACAAGACUAGAGUGUGGCAGAGGGGGGUGGAAUUCCGCGUGUAGCAGUGAAAUGCGUAGAGAUGUGGAGGAACACCGAUGGCGAAGGCAGCCCCCUGGGUCAACACUGACGCUCAGGCACGAAAGCAUGGGGAGCAAACAGGAUUAGAUACCCUGGUAGUCCAUGCCCUAAACGAUGUCAACUAGUUGUCGGGCCUUUACGGGCUUGGUAACGUAGCUAACGCGUGAAGUUGACCGCCUGGGGAGUACGAUCGCAAGAUUAAAACUCAAAUGAAUUGACGGGGACCCGCACAAGCGGUGGAUUAUGUGGAUUAAUUCGAUGCAACGCGAAAAACCUUACCUACCCUUGACAUGUAUCGAAGCCCGCAGAAAAGCGGGGGUGCCCGAAAGGGAGCGAUAACACAGGUGCUGCAUGGCUGUCGUCAGCUCGUGUCGUGAGAUGUUGGGUUAAGUCCCGCAACGAGCGCAACCCUUGUCAUUAAUUGCCAUCAUUUAGUUGGGCACUUUAAUGAGACUGCCGG
This 914-nucleotide ribosomal RNA is filed under the name uncultured bacterium. RNAcentral describes it as "bacterial SSU rRNA". It matches the Rfam family "Bacterial small subunit ribosomal RNA", at positions 246 to 1155 of the family's 1533-position model. The record is from RNAcentral.